AGUAGGAAAUGAACUUACAGUUAUUUCGUCUGUUAUUUCGUCUAUAUUGCUGAACAAGUAUAGGAAAUGGAAUAUACUAGAUUAUUUAGUGAUUAUGAUGGUUUCCAGUAGUAUUUAUUGGAUGGUAUGGAUGUUGUUGGCUUAAAUGGGCCAGCAUCCUGCCCUGUGGCGGGAGGCCAUGUGGGCCGAGUCAUGUUCGAAAUGGCGUGAGGCUUGGUUCGACCGAGUCAUAUUCGAAGUGGCGUGAGGCCAGGUGGGCCGAGUCACAAUCAAAACCCGUGAGCGCUGUUUCUGUACGCUUUAAGUGAAUUGGUUGCGUAUUUUCUAACAGCUCGAGCUUUUGGGCUUAAUGGUUAGCGCCAACGAUCCGACAAGUGGUAUCAGAGCCAGAGGUCACGGGUUCGAUUUCUGCAUGCUGCAAAUGUGUGCAGGUGCUGGAGGGGGGAUUGUUGGCUUAAAUGGGCCAGCAUCCUGCCCUGUGGCGGGAGGCCAUGUGGGCCGAGUCAUGUUCGAAAUGGCGUGAGGCUGGGUUGGACCGAGUCAUGUUCGAAGUGGCGUGAGGCCAGGUGGGCCGAGUCACAAUCGAAACCCGUGGGCGCUGUUUCUGUACGCUUUAAGUGAAUUGGUUGCGUAUUUCUAACAGCUCGAGCUUUUGGGAUUAAUGGUUAGCGCCAACGAUCCGACAGAUGUGAACAUCCAUGCAACCCCAUACUAAUUGGAAGCCGUU
Molecule: long non-coding RNA, 727 nt
Filed under: Ananas comosus (pineapple)
Lineage: Eukaryota; Viridiplantae; Streptophyta; Magnoliopsida; Poales; Bromeliaceae
Description: long non-coding RNA (ACOM_LNC031692)
Source: RNAcentral